GGUCCCGUAGUUCAAUGGUAAAACACCCGGUUUAUACCCGGCAUUGACAGCGGACAGCUGUGUAUUGCAGGUUCAAAUCCUGCCGGGACCA
RNAcentral lists this transfer RNA (91 nucleotides) under Lactobacillus phage 3-521. It matches the Rfam family "tRNA". Rfam says of the family: Transfer RNA (tRNA) molecules are approximately 80 nucleotides in length. Their secondary structure includes four short double-helical elements and three loops (D, anti-codon, and T loops). The record is from Rfam by way of RNAcentral. Lineage: Duplodnaviria; Heunggongvirae; Uroviricota; Caudoviricetes; Herelleviridae.